CAACCCUCAAGCUUUGCUUGGUGUUGGGUGAGGUCCUGGAAAGGACCCUCCCGUAACCUGUAGGCGGUCAUCAUCCAUACUCCCCUAGCGUAGCAGGCUCAUGGCACUCGCUAGAGGAUAGGGUGAGACCAUGCCUUUACAAAAACCAUUUCAAAAG
This 157-nucleotide unclassified non-coding RNA is filed under the name uncultured Ascomycota. RNAcentral describes it as "sequence contains ITS2". Lineage: Eukaryota; Fungi; Ascomycota. The record is from RNAcentral.